GAGACGUUGCCCUUCGGGGUAUACCUCCCACCCUUUGUUUAUUAUACCUUUGUUGCUUUGGCGGGCCCGUCCUCGGACCACCGGCUUCGGCUGGUCAGCGCCCGCCAGAGGACCACAACUCUGUAUCAAAUGUCGUCUGAGUACUAUAAAAUAGUUAAAACUUUCAACAACGGAUCUCUUGGUUCU
RNAcentral lists this unclassified non-coding RNA (186 nucleotides) under rhizosphere metagenome. RNAcentral's name for it is "partial ribosomal RNA internal transcribed spacer region". The record is from RNAcentral.